GUGAACGCUGGCGGUAGGCCUAACACAUGCAAGUCGAACGGCAGCACAGUAAGAGCUUGCUCUUACGGGUGGCGAGUGGCGGACGGGUGAGGAAUACAUCGGAAUCUACUUUUUCGUGGGGGAUAACGUAGAGAAACUUACGCUAAUACCGCAUACGACCUACGGGUGAAAGCAGGGGAUCUUCGGACCUUGCGCGAUUGAAUGAGCCGAUGUCGGAUUAGCUAGUUGGCGGGGUAAAGGCCCACCAAGGCGACGAUCCGUAGCUGGUCUGAGAGGAUGAUCAGCCACACUGGAACUGAGACACGGUCCAGACUCCUACGGGAGGCAGCAGUGGGGAAUAUUGGACAAUGGGCGCAAGCCUGAUCCAGCCAUACCGCGUGGGUGAAGAAGGCCUUCGGGUUGUAAAGCCCUUUUGUUGGGAAAGAAAAGCAGCAGGUUAAUACCCCGCUGUUCUGACGGUACCCAAAGAAUAAGCACCGGCUAACUUCGUG
Molecule: ribosomal RNA, 491 nt
Filed under: uncultured bacterium
Lineage: Bacteria
Description: partial 16S ribosomal RNA
Rfam family: Bacterial small subunit ribosomal RNA
Source: RNAcentral